RNAcentral lists this ribosomal RNA (325 nucleotides) under uncultured eukaryote. RNAcentral's name for it is "partial 18S ribosomal RNA". It matches the Rfam family "Eukaryotic small subunit ribosomal RNA", at positions 1470 to 1796 of the family's 1831-position model. The record is from RNAcentral.
CCCUUAGAUGUUCUGGGCUGCACGCGCGCUACACUGAUGCGUUCAACGAGUUUACGGCCUUGCCCGAUAGGGUUGGGUAAUCUUCUUAAAACGCAUCGUGAUGGGGAUAGAUUAUUGCAAUUAUUAAUUUUCAACGAGGAAUUCCUAGUAAGUGCGAGUCAUCAGCUCGUACUGAUUACGUCCCUGCCCUUUGUACACACCGCCCGUCGCUCCUACCGAUUGAAUGCUCAGGUGAGCCAUUCGGACUUUCAUCAUGCUGGUUUCCAGUUUUGAUGAAGGAAAGUCUUGCGAACCUUAUCAUUUAGAGGAAGGAGAAGUCGUAACA